CUACGGGUCGCAGCAGUGGGGAAUAUUGCACAAUGGGGAAAACCCUGAUGCAGCAACGCCGCGUGGAGGAUGACGCAUUUCGGUGUGUAAACUCCUUUUAUAUAGGAAGAUAAUGACGGUACUAUAUGAAUAAGCACCGGCUAACUCCGUGCCAGCAGCCGCGGUAAUAGCGGAGGGUGCAAGCGUUACUCGGAAUCACUGGGCGUAAAGCGCGCGCAGGCGGCCCCUUAAGUUGGCUGUGAAAGCCUACGGCUUAACCGUAGAACUGCAUCCAAAACUGAGGGGCUAGAGUCUGGGAGGGGAAGAUGGAAUUAGUUGUGUAGGGGUAAAAUCCGUAGAGAUAACUAGGAAUACCAAAAGCGAAGGCGAUCUUCUGGAACAGUACUGACGCUGAGGCGCGAAAGCGUGGGGAGCAAACAGGAUUAGAUACCCGAGUAGUC
Molecule: ribosomal RNA, 440 nt
Filed under: uncultured bacterium
Lineage: Bacteria
Description: partial 16S ribosomal RNA
Rfam family: Bacterial small subunit ribosomal RNA
Source: RNAcentral